RNAcentral lists this ribosomal RNA (581 nucleotides) under uncultured Gemmatimonas sp. Its description in RNAcentral is "bacterial SSU rRNA". It matches the Rfam family "Bacterial small subunit ribosomal RNA", at positions 790 to 1368 of the family's 1533-position model. The record is from RNAcentral. Lineage: Bacteria; Pseudomonadati; Gemmatimonadota; Gemmatimonadia; Gemmatimonadales; Gemmatimonadaceae.
GUAGUCCACGCCGUAAACGAUGGGUACUAGGUGUCUGGGGGAGCGACCCCCUGGGUGCCGGCGCUAACGCAUGAAGUACCCCGCCUGGGGAGUACGGCCGCAAGGCUGAAACUCAAAGGAAUUGACGGGGGCCCGCACAAGCGGUGGAGCAUGUGGUUUAAUUCGACGCAACGCGAAGAACCUUACCUGGGCUUGACAUGCUGGAGAAAGCUUGCGGAAACGUGAGCCCCUCUUCGGAGUUCCAGCACAGAUGCUGCAUGGCUGUCGUCAGCUCGUGUCGUGAGAUGUUGGGUUAAGUCCCGCAACGAGCGCAACCCUCACUCUUAGUUACCAGCGGGUAAUGCCGGGGACUCUAGGGGGACUGCCGGUGCCAAACCGGAGGAAGGUGGGGAUGACGUCAAGUCAUCAUGGCUCUUACGUCCAGGGCUACACACGUGCUACAAUGGGCCAGACAGAGGGUCGCCAACUCGCGAGAGUGAGCCAAUCCCUAAACUGGUCCUCAGUUCGGAUUGUAGUCUGCAACUCGACUACAUGAAGCUGGAAUCGCUAGUAAUCGUGGAUCAGCUACGCCACGGUGAAUA